GAUGAAGAACGUAGCGAAAUGCGAUAAGUAAUGUGAAUUGCAGAAUUCAGUGAAUCAUCGAAUCUUUGAACGCACCUUGCGCUCCUUGGUAUUCCGAGGAGCAUGCCUGUUUGAGUGUCAUGAAAUUCUCAACCUUUUCAGCUUUCUUUGUUGAUCAGGCUUGGAUGUGGGAGUAUGCGGGCUUCUCAGAAGUCGGCUCUCCUGAAAUGCAUUAGCGGGACCUUUGUUGCCUGGCUUUGGUGUGAUAAUUAUCUACGCCAUUGUAGUCAAGCAGCUUAAAAUGAGGUUUCAGCUUCUAACCGUCUCCCCUGAGACAACAUUUUGACAAUUUGACCUCAAAUCAGGUAGGACUACCCGCUGAACUUAAGCAUAUCAAUAAGCGGAGGA
RNAcentral lists this unclassified non-coding RNA (387 nucleotides) under soil metagenome. Its description in RNAcentral is "partial contains 5.8S ribosomal RNA, internal transcribed spacer 2, and large subunit ribosomal RNA". The stretch from base 1 to 120 matches the Rfam family "5.8S ribosomal RNA", at positions 35 to 154 of the family's 154-position model. The record is from RNAcentral.